AGAGUUUGAUCAUGGCUCAGAUUGAACGCUGGCGGCAUGCCUUACACAUGCAAGUCGAACGGUAACGGGCCUUCGGGUGCCGACGAGUGGCGAACGGGUGAGUAAUGCAUCGGAACGUACCUUUCAGUGGGGGAUAACGUAGCGAAAGUUACGCUAAUACCGCAUAUUCUGUGAGCAGGAAAGCAGGGGAUCGCAAGACCUUGCGCUGAUUGAGCGGCCGAUGUCAGAUUAGCUAGUUGGUGAGGUAAAGGCUCACCAAGGCGACGAUCUGUAGCGGGUCUGGGAGGAUGAUCCGCCACACUGGAACUGAGACACGGUCCAGACUCCUACGGGAGGCAGCAGUGGGGAAUUUUGGACAAUGGGGGCAACCCUGAUCCAGCCAUGCCGCGUGAGUGAAGAAGGCCUUCGGGUUGUAAAGCUCUUUCGGCCGGGAAGAAAUCGCAUGGGUUAAUACCCUGUGCGGAUGACGGUACCGGCAUAAGAAGCACCGGCUAACUACGUG
RNAcentral lists this ribosomal RNA (502 nucleotides) under uncultured bacterium. RNAcentral's name for it is "bacterial SSU rRNA". It matches the Rfam family "Bacterial small subunit ribosomal RNA", at positions 8 to 507 of the family's 1533-position model. The record is from RNAcentral.